RNAcentral lists this ribosomal RNA (253 nucleotides) under uncultured bacterium. RNAcentral describes it as "partial 16S ribosomal RNA". It matches the Rfam family "Bacterial small subunit ribosomal RNA", at positions 524 to 776 of the family's 1533-position model. The record is from RNAcentral.
UACGUAGGGGGCAAGCGUUGUCCGGAAUCAUUGGGCGUAAAGAGCGCGUAGGCGGCCUGGUAAGUCCUCUGUGAAAGUCCAGGGCUCAACCCUGGAAUGCCGGUGGAAACUGUCAGGCUCGAGUCCGGAAGAGGCGAGUGGAAUUCCUGGUGUAGCGGUGAAAUGCGCAGAUAUCAGGAGGAACACCAAUGGCGAAGGCAGCUCGCUGGGACGGUACUGACGCUGAGACGCGAAAGCGUGGGGAGCAAACAGG